RNAcentral lists this ribosomal RNA (434 nucleotides) under uncultured bacterium. RNAcentral describes it as "partial 16S ribosomal RNA". It matches the Rfam family "Bacterial small subunit ribosomal RNA", at positions 29 to 507 of the family's 1533-position model. The record is from RNAcentral.
AGCGAACGCUGGCGGCAGGCCUAACACAUGCAAGUCGAACGAACCUUUCGGGGUUAGUGGCGGACGGGUGAGUAACACGUGGGAACGUGCCUUUAGGUUCGGAAUAACUCAGGGAAACUUGUGCUAAUACCGAAUGUGCCCUUCGGGGGAAAGAUUAAUCGCCUUUAGAGCGGCCCGCGUCUGAUUAGCUAGUUGGUUGAGGUAAUGGCUCACCAAGGCGACGAUCAGUAGCUGGUCUGAGAGGAUGAUCAGCCACAUUGGGACUGAGACACGGCCCAAACUCCUACGGGAGGCAGCAGUGGGGAAUCUUGCGCAAUGGGCGAAAGCCUGACGCAGCCAUGCCGCGUGAAUGAUGAAGGUCUUAGGAUUGUGAAAUUCUUUCACCGGGGACGAUAAUGACGGUACCCGGAGAAGAAGCCCCGGCUAACUUCGUG